UACGUAGGCAGCAAGCGUUGUUCGGAAUUACUGGGCGUAAAGGGCUCGUAGGCGGCCAACUAAGUCAGACGUGAAAUCCCUCGGCUUAACCGGGGAACUGCGUCUGAUACUGGAUGGCUUGAGUUUGGGAGAGGGAUGCGGAAUUCCAGGUGUAGCGGUGAAAUGCGUAGAUAUCUGGAGGAACACCGGUGGCGAAGGCGGCAUCCUGGACCAACACUGACGCUGAGUGAGCGAAAGCCAGGGGAGCAAACGGG
Molecule: ribosomal RNA, 254 nt
Filed under: uncultured bacterium
Lineage: Bacteria
Description: partial 16S ribosomal RNA
Rfam family: Bacterial small subunit ribosomal RNA
Source: RNAcentral